CCUACGGGGGGCAGCAGUGGGGAAUAUUGCUCAAUGGGCGAAAGCCUGACGCAGCGACGCCGCGUGAGGGAUGAAGGUUUUCGGAUUGUAAACCUCUGUCAGCAGGGAAGAACGGUCACUGUGCUAAUCAGCAGUGACUUGACGGUACCUGCAAAGGAAGCACCGGCUAACUCCGUGCCAGCAGCCGCGGCAAUACGGAGGGUGCGAGCGUUAAUCGGAAUUGGUGGGCGUAAGGCGCUCGUAGGCGGUAUGGCAAGGCAGGGGUGAAAUCUCCGGGCUCAACGAUAGAACUGCCUUUGAAACUGGCAAACGGGAGUGUGUGAGAGGUAAGUGGAAUUCGAGGUGUAGGAGUGAAAUCCGUAGAUAUCAAGAGGAACA
RNAcentral lists this ribosomal RNA (378 nucleotides) under uncultured bacterium. RNAcentral describes it as "partial 16S ribosomal RNA". It matches the Rfam family "Bacterial small subunit ribosomal RNA", at positions 338 to 708 of the family's 1533-position model. The record is from RNAcentral.